AGUUUGAUUCUGGCUCAGAUUGAACGCUGGCGGGAUGUGCUUGGUUCACGAUGCAAGUCGAACGGCAGCACGGACUUCGGUCUGGUGGCGAGUGGCGAACGGGGUGAGUAAUGUAUCGGAACGUGCCUAGUAGCGGGGGAUAACUACGCGAAAGGUAGCUAAUACCGCAUACGCCCUUCAAAGCGGGGACCUUCGGGCCUCGCACUAUUAGGAGCGGCCGAUAUCGGAUUAGCUAGUUGGUGGGGUAACGGCUCACCAAGGCGACGAUUCAGGCUGGUUUGAGAGGACGACCAGCCACACUGGGAUUCCGAGAUGACGGCCCAGAUCUUAGCCGGGAGGCAGCAGUGGGGAAUUUUUGACAAUGGGGGAAACCCUGAUCCAGCCACUCCGCGUGACGCGAAGGACUUCGGGUUGUAAAGCACUUUUGGCAGGAAAGAAACGGCACGGGAUAAUACCCCGUGCAACCGACGGUACCUGCAGAAUAAGCACCGGCUAACUACGCCGCACAGCAGCCGCGGUAAUACGUAGGUGCAAGCGUUAAUCGGAAUUACCGGCGUAAAGCGUGCAGGCGGUUCGGAAAGAAAGAUGAAAUCCCAGAGCUUAACUUUGGAACUGCAUUUUUAACUACCGAGCUAGAGAGGUGUCAGAGGGAGGUAACGCAGCAGUGAAUGCAGAUAUGCGGGGAGGAAACACUGAUGGCGCGCAGCCUCCUGGGGAUAACACUGGCGCUCAUGCACGAAAGCGUGGGGAGCAAACAGGAUUAGAUACUCCUGCAGUCCACGCCCUAAACCACGUCAACUAGCUGUUGGGGCCUUCGGGCUCGGUAGCGCAGCUAACGCGUGAAGUUGACCGCCUGGGGAGUACGGUCGCAAGAUUAAACUCAAAGGAAUUGACGGGGACCGCACAAGCGGUGGAUGAUGGGAUUACACUCCGAUGCAACGCGAAAACCUUACCUGCCUUGACAUGUCUGGAACUCCAGCGAGAUUUUGGGAGUGCUCGCAAGAGAACCGGAACACAGGUGCCGCAUGGCUGUCGUCAGCUCGCCGUGAGAUGUUGGGUUAAGUCCCGCAACAACGAGCGCAACCUCACGCUGUUGUUACGAAAGGGCACCGACGAGACUGCCGGUAAUAAACCGGAGGAAGGUGGGGAUGACGUCAAGUCCUCACAAUCUUAUGGGUAGGGCUUCACACGUCAUACAAUGGUCGGGAUAAGAGGUCGCUAACCCGCGAGGUGGGAGCUAAUCCCAGAAACCCGAUCGUAGUCCGGAUCGCAGUCUGCAACUCGACUGCGUGAAGUCGGAAUCGCUAGUGAAUCGCGGAUCAGCAUGCUUCGAAUACGUUCCCGGGUCUGAAGACCGCCCGUCACACCAUGAGUGGGUUUUACCAGAAGUAGUUAGCUCAACCGCAAGGGAGGCGAUUACCAUUGCAGAUUCAUGACUGGGUGAAGUCGUAAUAC
Molecule: ribosomal RNA, 1455 nt
Filed under: uncultured Bordetella sp.
Lineage: Bacteria; Pseudomonadati; Pseudomonadota; Betaproteobacteria; Burkholderiales; Alcaligenaceae
Description: partial 16S-23S ribosomal RNA intergenic spacer
Rfam family: Bacterial small subunit ribosomal RNA
Source: RNAcentral